UUGCCCUGCCAACUAGAUCGCCUCCUGCUUAGGAGGAACCAAUCAGGCCUUGAGUUCCCUCCACGUGCCGCCCUUCCAUUUGUGAUGGGGGAGUCCAGGCACUGGCUCACAAGGCCCCGCCCCCACAGCUGCCCUGCCCCACCUUUCAUUCAUUGAUAGCUUCCAGCAACUUUCAGCUUUCCUCAUUGUGAAUUAUGACUAUGAGCUAUUUUAAAAUUACUGUAACCCAACGUGCUUCAUGCACUCUCUGGGAUCCAAAGGAUCCUCUUUCCACCAUGGCUUGUGAAGGUUUUCGAAACUGGAAAGAAGACAGAUUUCUGCAGGUUAUGGGAAGGCACCGAUAGAAGCAGAGGAGACAAGAAGAGGAAGAGAGGGAGAGGGAAUGAAUAUUUGAUGGAACAUCCUGGGAUAGGUGAAAGAGAGCUGAACAACUAGAUAAGGUCUUAAAUUUAUGUCUUCUUUUGGCUUAAGAAAUGUCAAAAUCGAAAUGUUUUACUUUGUGACCACUGUUUUCAAAAUGUAAUUCCAAAAUAAACUCUUAAGAAACCUAAAUAUUUUGAAUAAAAUGAAGUUCAUGUACCUCUAAUUUAAAUGCAAAACAAUAUAAUAUUACUUGAAGGAGACAAAUGACAUAUGGGAUGAUAAU
RNAcentral lists this long non-coding RNA (646 nucleotides) under Homo sapiens (human). Its description in RNAcentral is "HSALNT0356923". The record is from RNAcentral. Lineage: Eukaryota; Metazoa; Chordata; Mammalia; Primates; Hominidae.